UUCAGUUAUGAAUAAAACUCGACGAUGUUUCUGCUAAAUUUAAAACUAACAUAGCUAUAUUCGGGAUCGUCAGUCACUUCAUAGACUGAUCUAAGUGUAUUCAGUACUUUCGCGUAGUCAGCGUAGUAUUUUAUGCAAAACAAGUUCCCGAGGAUUAAAGAUAUGGUUAACGUAAUGUGAAGAUGAUUGUUGAAGAUUGUCUACAUAUAAACAUCUAUAAAGGUUCUACAUUUAACAUUUAUUGAAAAUUUGUAUAAAUAAAUAAAUAAUGUAUCAUUA
Molecule: long non-coding RNA, 279 nt
Organism: Melitaea cinxia (Glanville fritillary)
Lineage: Eukaryota; Metazoa; Arthropoda; Insecta; Lepidoptera; Nymphalidae
Exons: 2
Source: RefSeq, a predicted model, not a curated record